This 23-nucleotide microRNA is filed under the name Homo sapiens (human). RNAcentral describes it as "hsa-miR-3616-3p". The record is from miRBase by way of RNAcentral. Lineage: Eukaryota; Metazoa; Chordata; Mammalia; Primates; Hominidae.
CGAGGGCAUUUCAUGAUGCAGGC